This 403-nucleotide ribosomal RNA is filed under the name Verrucomicrobiota bacterium. RNAcentral's name for it is "Verrucomicrobia bacterium partial 16S ribosomal RNA". It matches the Rfam family "Bacterial small subunit ribosomal RNA", at positions 355 to 776 of the family's 1533-position model. The record is from RNAcentral. Lineage: Bacteria; Pseudomonadati; Verrucomicrobiota.
UGGGGAAUAUUGCACAAUGGGGGAAACCCUGAUGCAGCGACGCCGCGUGAGCGAAGAAGGCUUUCGAAUCGUAAAGCUCUGUCCUAUGAGAAGAUAAUGACGGUAUCAUAGGAGGAAGCCCCGGCUAAAUACGUGCCAGCAGCCGCGGUAAUACGUAUGGGGCGAGCGUUGUCCGGAAUUAUUGGGCGUAAAGGGUACGUAGGCGGUCUAUUAAGUCAGGUGUGAAAGCGUGAGGCUUAACCUCAUUAAGCACUUGAAACUGAUAGACUUGAGUGAAGGAGAGGAAAGUGGAAUUCCUAGUGUAGCGAUGAAAUGCGUAGAUAUUAGGAGGAAUACCGGUGGCGAAGGCGACUUUCUGGACUUUUACUGACGCUCAGGUACGAAAGCGUGGGGAGCAAACAGG